Molecule: ribosomal RNA, 490 nt
Filed under: uncultured bacterium
Lineage: Bacteria
Description: partial 16S ribosomal RNA
Rfam family: Bacterial small subunit ribosomal RNA
Source: RNAcentral
UGAACGCUGGCGGUAGGCCUACCACAUGCACGUCGAACGGCAGCACAGUAAGAGCUUGCUCUUACGGGUGGCGAGUGGCGGACGGGUGAGGAAUACAUCGGAAUCUACUUUUUCGUGGGGGAUAACGUGGGGAAACUUACGCUAAUACCGCAUACGACCUACGGGUGAAAGCAGGGGAUCUUCGGACCUUGCGCGAUUGAAUGAGCCGAUGUCGGAUUAGCUAGUUGGCGGGGUAAAGGCCCACCAAGGCGACGAUCCGUAGCUGGUCUGAGAGGAUGAUCAGCCACACUGGAACUGAGACACGGUCCAGACUCCUACGGGAGGCAGCAGUGGGGAAUAUUGGACAAUGGGCGCAAGCCUGAUCCAGCCAUACCGCGUGGGUGAAGAAGGCCUUCGGGUUGUAAAGCCCUUUUGUUGGGAAAGAAAAGCAGCAGGUUAAUACCCCGCUGUUCUGACGGUACCCAAAGAAUAAGCACCGGCUAACUUCGUG